GACUCAAUGACGAUGCCUUGCUGUUAAAUUUUUGACUCUGUGAUUCCCCUACUGUACAGAUGGCUCGGUGGCGCAGUCUCUGUGGAUGUGUAAAAUAGCAAGACCAGCAUUAGCAGGGACUGUUAGCCAGGCAGCAAAAUUUGUGCUCAGUGCUCAGAUUUGCGAACAUUCUGGUUUCAAAAUUCCGAAGCCCUGGCCAAUGAGGAGUCAGGACAUCUGAAUUAUCUCUGGACAGAAUUUGGGCUCCAUUGUCUCAGGAGUGUUUAUUUUGGGAAAGGCACGGCUGGGGUGGCAUCCGACUGGAGGACCCUGUGACGCUACGUUCCCCACUGCAGUGGAGUUGCUCUUCCUUCACAAACAGCGGCAAAGCAUUUCCAAACAAUGGCUGUUUAAAAGCCAUUUUUACUGUUCACUGUGGUCUUUACAUAACCUGACUGACCCCUGCUCAGUUUAGCCUGUUUUUUUUUUUUUGUCUAACCUUCAUGUGAAGAGUGCUGUGAGAAAUAAAACCGAAUUGAACUGGAUUAAAGUCCAGUGAUUUUCUCGCCCUGUGCAUAUAAGUUCCAGUCAUGUGUGUUGGAAUGAACCUCAGUGCCUGGAGCAGAAUAAGAUCAGAUCUC
This is a long non-coding RNA of Anguilla rostrata (American eel), 620 nucleotides long. RefSeq lists it as uncharacterized. The transcript has 2 exons. NCBI's taxonomy places the organism in Eukaryota, Metazoa, Chordata, Actinopteri, Anguilliformes, Anguillidae. The record is from RefSeq and is a predicted model, not a curated record.